AUUGAACGCUGGCGGCAGGCCUAACACAUGCAAGUCGAACGAGUGGCGGACGGGUGAGUAAUGUCUGGGACACUGCCUGAUGGUGGGGGAUAACUACUGGAAACGGUAGCUAAUACCGCAUACCAUCAGAUGUGCCCAGAUGGGAUUGGCUUGUUGGUGGGGUAACGGCUCACCAAGGCGACGAUCCCUAGCUGGUCUGAGAGGAUGACCAGGCACACUGGAACGGAGACACGGGCCAGACGCCUACGGGAGGCAGCAGUGGGGAAUAGUGCACAAUGGGCGAAAGCCUGAUGCAGCCAUGCCGAGUGUAUGAAGAAGGCAAUGGGGUUGUAAAGGACUUUCAGCGGGGAGGCGUUACCCGCAGAAGAAGGACCGGCUAACUCCGUGCCAGCAGCCGCGGUAAUUC
RNAcentral lists this ribosomal RNA (406 nucleotides) under uncultured bacterium. Its description in RNAcentral is "partial 16S ribosomal RNA". It matches the Rfam family "Bacterial small subunit ribosomal RNA", at positions 29 to 526 of the family's 1533-position model. The record is from RNAcentral.